RNAcentral lists this ribosomal RNA (253 nucleotides) under uncultured bacterium. RNAcentral's name for it is "partial 16S ribosomal RNA". It matches the Rfam family "Bacterial small subunit ribosomal RNA", at positions 524 to 776 of the family's 1533-position model. The record is from RNAcentral.
UACGUAGGGUGCAAGCGUUGUCCGGAAUUAUUGGGCGUAAAGAGCUCGUAGGCGGUUUGUUGCGUCGGCUGUGAAAUCCCGAGGCUCAACCUCGGGUCUGCAGUCGAUACGAGCAAACUAGAGUGUUGCAGGGGAGACUGGAAUUCCUGGUGUAGCGGUGAAAUGCGCAGAUAUCAGGAGGAACACCGGUGGCGAAGGCGGGUCUCUGGGCAACAACUGACGCUGAGGAGCGAAAGCUAGGGGAGCGAAUGGG